UCUAACACAAAUUCAUGUGUAGCUAAAUCUGUAAUGUUCAUGUGAACGAAUGUGAACAAAUGACAUAGCAGAAAACAACAGUACGAUAUUUAAACCUGGUUAUAAGCAGAACAUGAACAUCGUAACUGAAAUUGAAGAAAAAACCUGAAACCGUUUGAUGCAAUUCAAAAUCUUAUCAAUAGCAUCUUGACACCAGUCUAAGAUCCGUGGCAAUUUGAGCAUUGCAGCUCCUAGAAGUAUGUCAACAGAGAAAGGGGGAAAGAUUGAAUCCACGGACAAUGACAAACCUGAAAACAUAUGAUUUGAUCACUCCCAAGUUCGAACAUUACCUAGUCUAGUUCAUCGGAUAGAAAAACAUUACCUUGUCUAAGACCUGACUUCUGAU
Molecule: long non-coding RNA, 385 nt
Filed under: Triticum aestivum (bread wheat)
Lineage: Eukaryota; Viridiplantae; Streptophyta; Magnoliopsida; Poales; Poaceae
Description: long non-coding RNA (TAES_LNC027144)
Source: RNAcentral